ACGUGCCAGCAGCCGCGGUAAUACGUAUGUCACAAGCGUUAUCCGGAUUUAUUGGGCGUAAAGCGCGUCUAGGUGGUUAUAUAAGUCUGAUGUGAAAAUGCAGGGCUCAACUCUGUAUUGCGUUGGAAACUGUGUAACUAGAGUACUGGAGAGGUAAGCGGAACUACAAGUGUAGAGGUGAAAUUCGUAGAUAUUUGUAGGAAUGCCGAUGGGGAAGCCAGCUUACUGGACAGAUACUGACGCUGAAGCGCGAAAGCGUGGGUAGCAAAUAGG
This 273-nucleotide ribosomal RNA is filed under the name uncultured Fusobacterium sp. RNAcentral's name for it is "partial 16S ribosomal RNA". It matches the Rfam family "Bacterial small subunit ribosomal RNA", at positions 503 to 776 of the family's 1533-position model. The record is from RNAcentral. Lineage: Bacteria; Fusobacteriati; Fusobacteriota; Fusobacteriia; Fusobacteriales; Fusobacteriaceae.